AGUGAACGCUGGCGGUAGGCCUAACACAUGCAAGUCGAACGGCAGCACAGUAAGAGCUUGCUCUUACGGGUGGCGAGUGGCGGACGGGUGAGGAAUACAUCGGAAUCUACUUUUUCGUGGGUGAUAACGUAGGGAAACUUACGCUAAUACCGCAUACUACCUACGGGUGAAAGCAGGGGAUCUUCGGACCUUUCGCGAUUGAAUGAGCCGAUGUCGGAUUAGCCAGUUGGCGGGGUAAAGGCCCACCAAGGCGACGAUCCGUAGCUGGUCUGAGAGGAUGAUCAGCCACACUGGAACUGAGACACGGUCCAGACUCCUACGGGAGGCAGCAGUGGGGAAUAUUGGACAAUGGGCGAAAGCCUGAUCCAGCCAUACCGCGUGAGUGAAGAAGGCCUUCGGGUUGUAAAGCCCUUUUGUUGGGAAAGAAAAGCAGCAGGUUAAUACCCCGCUGUUCUGACGGUACCCAAAGAAUAAGCACCGGCUAACUUCGUG
RNAcentral lists this ribosomal RNA (492 nucleotides) under uncultured bacterium. Its description in RNAcentral is "partial 16S ribosomal RNA". It matches the Rfam family "Bacterial small subunit ribosomal RNA", at positions 29 to 507 of the family's 1533-position model. The record is from RNAcentral.